CCUACGAGAGGCAGCAGUGAGGAAUAUUGGUCAAUGGUCGUAAGACUGAACCAGCCAAGUCGCGUGAGGGAUGAAGGUUCUGUGGAUCGUAAACCUCUUUUAUCAGGGAAUAAAGUGUGGGACGUGUCCUGUGUUGUAUGUACCUGAUGAAUAAGGAUCGGCUAACUCAGUGCCAGCAGCCGCGGUAAUACGGAGGAUCCGAGCGUUAUCCGGAUUUAUUGGGUUUAAAGGGUGCGUAGGCGGCCUUUUAAGUCAGCGGUGAAAGGCUGUUGCUCAACCAUAGAAUUGCCGUUGAAACUGGGAGUCUUGAGUUUGUUUGAGGCAGGCGGAAUGCGUGGUGUAGCGGUGAAAUGCUUAGAGAUCACGCAGAACCCCGAUUGCGAAGGCAGCCUGCCAAGCCAUGACUGACGCUGAUGCACGAAAGCGUGGGUAUCAAACAGGAUUAGAUACCCUUGUAGUC
RNAcentral lists this ribosomal RNA (460 nucleotides) under uncultured bacterium. RNAcentral describes it as "partial 16S ribosomal RNA". It matches the Rfam family "Bacterial small subunit ribosomal RNA", at positions 338 to 795 of the family's 1533-position model. The record is from RNAcentral.